Molecule: long non-coding RNA, 276 nt
Filed under: Aquilegia coerulea
Lineage: Eukaryota; Viridiplantae; Streptophyta; Magnoliopsida; Ranunculales; Ranunculaceae
Description: long non-coding RNA (ACOE_LNC000123)
Source: RNAcentral
UUCUUCCCUCAAUUUCUGAUGGGUUUUCUUUUUCUUUAAAGAAAGAAAGAGAUUGAAGGACCAAAGAAAGAAAUAAAGAAUUUAUUCUAACAUAUUGUGGAUUCUAAAUAAAGAAUUUAGAACAAUCCAAUUACUGCAACUCAUCGUCAUUUAGUUUCACAUUUGAUUGGUUUUGUUUUAACCAUUUAUCAAGUGAUCCCAACUAAUAAAAGAAUAGAAGUUCUCUGGUUCUCUCGAAGAUCUGUGUCAAUUGGUCUUUCUCUUUCUUUCUCUAUC